This 253-nucleotide ribosomal RNA is filed under the name uncultured bacterium. Its description in RNAcentral is "partial 16S ribosomal RNA". It matches the Rfam family "Bacterial small subunit ribosomal RNA", at positions 524 to 776 of the family's 1533-position model. The record is from RNAcentral.
UACGUAGGGGGCUAGCGUUGUUCGGAAUUACUGGGCGUAAAGCGCGCGUAGGCGGACCUGCAAGUCGUGGGUGAAAGCCCGAGGCUCAACCUCGGAACUGCCUUCGAUACUGCGGGUCUCGAGUCCGGGAGAGGUGAGUGGAAUUCCUAGUGUAGAGGUGAAAUUCGUAGAUAUUAGGAAGAACACCAGUGGCGAAGGCGGCUCACUGGCCCGGUACUGACGCUGAGGAGCGAAAGCGUGGGGAGCAAACAGG